AACUGAGCAGGAGAUGGUCAAAAAGUAGAUUGUCGUCUGUUGCAGAACUACACAUCUCGUGAUGGCUAGCAAAGCAUCAUUCAUUGUUAAAGGGACACUAUAGGCACCCAGACCACUUCAGCUCAUUGAAGUGGUCUGGUCUGUGCACAGUGUUCCUGUCCUCCUUAUUAUUGCAAUUUAAAACAUUGCAGUUACAGAGAAACUGCAAUGAUUACUUUGCAGGACUAUGACUGCUUAUAGUGACUGUAUAUCAACAGCCACUAGAGCCACUUGCAAGAUUCUAACAGACUCUGAGUCCCUUGAUUGGGACAUACUGAACAUCCAGCAUUAGUUAAAC
Molecule: non-coding RNA, 337 nt
Organism: Pelobates cultripes (western spadefoot toad)
Lineage: Eukaryota; Metazoa; Chordata; Amphibia; Anura; Pelobatidae
Source: the annotation of a GenBank genome assembly